Molecule: small RNA, 907 nt
Filed under: uncultured fungus
Lineage: Eukaryota; Fungi
Description: eukaryotic LSU rRNA
Rfam family: Eukaryotic large subunit ribosomal RNA (bases 576-907)
Source: RNAcentral
GGAAGGAUCAUUAUUGAAUAAACUUGAACGAGUUGUUGCUGGCUCCUAUAUGGGCAUGUGCACACUUGUCAUUUUUACCCCUCCACCUGUGCACAUAUUGUAGAUCGAUUGAGGAUUGCUGUGCUUUUUAUUCAAAAAGAGUCAGCUUUGUCUUGUAUCUUUAGAUCUAUUUAUUUAUUUUUCACAAUCUCUAAAAGUGUAUAGAAUGUUGAAUUUGGGAAAUAUACAACUUUCAGCAACGGAUCUCUUGGCUCUCGCAUCGAUGAAGAACGCAGCGAAAUGCGAUAAGUAAUGUGAAUUGCAGAAUUCAGUGAAUCAUCGAAUCUUUGAACGCAUCUUGCGCUCCUUAGUAUUCUGAGGAGCAUGCCUGUUUGAGUGUCAUUAAAUUCUCAACUACAUCUCUUUUUGAUGUGGCUUGGACAGUGGGGGUUAUAUUUGCAGGCUUUUGAAAAGAAGUUUGCUCCCCUGAAAUGAAUUAGUGGUAUCUAAGCAGAGACUACUACAGGUGUGAUAAUUAUUUUAUGCCUUGGUAUACUGCAUGCACUGCUUCUAAUGACUUUUGUUAUUGACCAAUUUGACCUCAAAUCAGGUAGGACUACCCGCUGAACUUAAGCAUAUCAAUAAGCGGAGGAAAAGAAACUAACAAGGAUUCCCCUAGUAACUGCGAGUGAAGCGGGAAAAGCUCAAAUUUGAAAUCUGGCAGUUUCUGACUGUCCGAGUUGUAAUCUAGAGAAGUGUUGCCUGUGCUGGACCGUGUACAAGUCUCCUGGAAUGGAGCAUCAUAGAGGGUGAGAAUCCCGUCUUUGACAUGGACUACCAGUAUGUUAUGGUAUGCUCUCAAAGAGUCGAGUUGUUUGGGAAUGCAGCUCAAAAUGGGUGGUAAAUGCCAUCUAAAGCUAAAUAUUGG